GAGCAAAUGAAAUUAAAAGCAACAGAAAAGAAUUAAAUAAGUAAGACAAUCUUCAAAGGAAAGAGGUUCUCGGUUCGACGGUCAACUUUGACACUCACCGUAGGGCUAAUGAGAAUGGGAUUCAUUACCUAGGAACACGGGGACAGGCACCAGGAGCCCGAAUGUGUGUCAAGUGCUCAGCAGAGCCCUCAGCAGACAGUAGGUGUGGAGAAGAGCCAUCAGGGCCUGAGAGGCCCAGGCUGAGUCCUGCCCCUGCCCACUGAGGAGUCCCAGCCCUACUCCAGGAUGUGUGAGGGCCAGAGACAGAAUGGAAGGUAUCUACCCUAAAAGAAGUCAUCAGAAAGGAGGGUGAAGGACUGCCCUGCUGGCGCAGUGCUUAAGAAUCCGCCUGCCAGUGCAGGGGACACGGGUUCGAGCCCUGGUCUGGGAAGAUCCCACAUGCCGCGGAGCA
Balaenoptera musculus (blue whale) is the source of this 451-nucleotide long non-coding RNA. RefSeq lists it as uncharacterized. Lineage: Eukaryota; Metazoa; Chordata; Mammalia; Artiodactyla; Balaenopteridae. The transcript has 3 exons. The record is from RefSeq and is a predicted model, not a curated record.